UGAAACGCCAGUAGCUCCGUGUUGGGAGCCAACAUGUUUUCAGGUCUUUUAUUUCCAUGGCUCUCCCUUGUCCCUCUGCAGCAGACAUAUGAGACGCUGGGAUGGUAGCCAUCCACUGACAGUGAAAUAGAGAAGAGGUUGAAGGUCCCCUGCUGAUCUUUAUAAUCGAUCAGACAUUAGCCACUGUUCAACGUCAGACAAUAUCCUCUCGCUUUGCCAGAGGAUAUUCCUGAAUAAGUUACAGUCUCCCUGAGAGCAGCCAGACUGUACAGGAGAGGACAGAUGCAUGCACUCAUCAUGCUGGUGGCACAGGCACACUCAGAAAUCAAC
RNAcentral lists this long non-coding RNA (330 nucleotides) under Salmo salar (Atlantic salmon). Its description in RNAcentral is "lncRNA (ENSSSAG00000096597.1)". The record is from RNAcentral. Lineage: Eukaryota; Metazoa; Chordata; Actinopteri; Salmoniformes; Salmonidae.